Molecule: ribosomal RNA, 468 nt
Filed under: uncultured bacterium
Lineage: Bacteria
Description: partial 16S ribosomal RNA
Rfam family: Bacterial small subunit ribosomal RNA
Source: RNAcentral
GACGAACGCUGGCGGCGUGCUUAACACAUGCAAGUCGAACGGAAAGGCCCUGCUUUUGUGGGUUGCUCGAGUGGCAAACGGGUGAGUAACACGUGAGUAACCUGCCCUUGACUUUGGGAUAACUUCAGGAACCUGGGGCUAAUACCGGAUAGGAGCUCCUGCUGCAGGGUGGGGGUGGGAAAGUUUCGGCGGUUGGGGAUGGACUCGCGGCUUAUCAGCUUGUUGGUGGGGUAGUGGCUUACCAAGGCUUUGACGGGUAGCCGGCCUGAGAGGGUGACCGGCCACAUUGGGACUGAGAUACGGCCCAGACUCCUACGGGAGGCAGCAGUGGGGAAUAUUGCACAAUGGGCGGAAGCCUGAUGCAGCAACGCCGCGUGCGGGAUGACGGCCUUCGGGUUGUAAACCGCUUUCGCCUGUGACGAAGCGUGAGUGACGGUAAUGGGUAAAGAAGCACCGGCUAACUACGUG